This 397-nucleotide long non-coding RNA is filed under the name Mus spicilegus (steppe mouse). Its description in RNAcentral is "lncRNA (ENSMSIG00000020865.1)". The record is from RNAcentral. Lineage: Eukaryota; Metazoa; Chordata; Mammalia; Rodentia; Muridae.
GUUUUUCUGAAAUUCACCUUUAAUUGGUCCUCCAUAUUUUAUCUGACCGGAUUUUUUAUUUUCUGUGUUUCAUGCUGUUCGUUUUCGAGAGCAUUCCAAAUGGAUUAUUCUCCACGAUUGCUGAGCCAGGGGCUGGGACGCUCCACGCGACUGAGCAGCCACUUGACUUGAGCUCUCGUCUCCCUCUAGUGGCCGCCAAGGAUAUCUUCACCGAGCCCUCUCGUGGCCACCAACAGGGCUUCCAGACCUGGUACCGGGUUUGAUCUCCAGAACUGGGAAAACAAAAGAGAAAUGAAUGCAGCUAUCAAGUUCGAGAAGGGUGGAGAUGCGUAUCUGUCAUCGGUAAGGUGUCUUUCAAUUAAUAGGUAAUAUCGAAAUGAAUUGACAUUGGAAUAUC